Mycena crocata is the source of this 97-nucleotide non-coding RNA. The record is from the annotation of a GenBank genome assembly. Lineage: Eukaryota; Fungi; Basidiomycota; Agaricomycetes; Agaricales; Mycenaceae.
GGCUGGGUGGUGUAAUGGUAACACGCCCUCGUUACAUGUAUUGAAUGCAAUGUAAUCAUUUAAGAGGGAAUCCUUUGUUCGAGUCAAGGCCCAGCCA